Molecule: unclassified non-coding RNA, 183 nt
Filed under: uncultured Tylospora
Lineage: Eukaryota; Fungi; Basidiomycota; Agaricomycetes; Atheliales; Atheliaceae
Description: sequence contains ITS1
Source: RNAcentral
UCGAAUCGUAGGCGAGGGUUGUCGCUGGCCUCUCGGGGCAUGUGCACGCCCGAGCCCUUGAAUCCCAAACACACAUGUGAACCCACCGUAGGCCUUCGGGCCUAUGUCUUAUCAUAUAAUCCGAAUGUCUAAUAGAAUGUAAACCCAUUUCGUUGCCUUGAAAACGGCGUUGAUAAACUUAUA